GUUGAAACACCGGUUCUCAUAUGAUCACCAGAGUUAAGCAACAUUGAGCCUGCUCAGUACCUAGAUGGGUGACUGCUUUGGAAUGCCAGUUGCUAU
Molecule: non-coding RNA, 96 nt
Organism: Acanthosepion pharaonis
Lineage: Eukaryota; Metazoa; Mollusca; Cephalopoda; Sepiida; Sepiidae
Source: the annotation of a GenBank genome assembly